UACAGAGGUCUCAAGCGUUGUUCGGAUUCAUUGGGCGUAAAGGGUGCGUAGGUGGCGGGGCAAGUUGGAUGUGAAAUCCCGGAGCUUAACUCCGGAACUGCAUUCAAUACUGCCUUGCUAGAGUACUGGAGAGGAGAUUGGAAUUUACGGUGUAGCAGUGAAAUGCGUAGAUAUCGUAAGGAAGACCAGUGGCGAAGGCGGAUCUCUGGACAGUUACUGACACUGAGGCACGAAGGCCAGGGGAGGCAAACGGA
RNAcentral lists this ribosomal RNA (254 nucleotides) under uncultured bacterium. Its description in RNAcentral is "partial 16S ribosomal RNA". It matches the Rfam family "Bacterial small subunit ribosomal RNA", at positions 524 to 777 of the family's 1533-position model. The record is from RNAcentral.